UGUGAUGAUGAGGCGGGCAGUUAACGCGA
RNAcentral lists this non-coding RNA (29 nucleotides) under Homo sapiens (human). Lineage: Eukaryota; Metazoa; Chordata; Mammalia; Primates; Hominidae. The record is from RNAcentral.